Molecule: small RNA, 747 nt
Filed under: Schizosaccharomyces pombe (fission yeast)
Lineage: Eukaryota; Fungi; Ascomycota; Schizosaccharomycetes; Schizosaccharomycetales; Schizosaccharomycetaceae
Description: small heterochromatic RNA precursor
Source: RNAcentral
AUCACUUGUAAUCCAAAAAAGCUCCAUUUCUUUCUUAUACGCUAAUUCACUAUUAAAUAGAAAUGUAUAUGCAAAACAGCGAGAAAUUUGUAGAUACGUUGAAUGUUGUUGCUUUCACAUUUGCAACUCUUAGUAGUUGUUCAAAACAACAAUGUCGAGCAAAGAUGUUUGCGAUGUUUGAAUGAUUCUUGGAUUGUAUUUGGAUUCCAUCGGUACUAUGGCCUGUUGAUUCGGCACCUUUGUCAUUUUAGCAACUUUUGUUUUCUUUUCUGUGUCGAUGUAGUUCUCUAUACCAUAUUCAUGUUCAUAUCAAUGUCCAUAUCAAGGUCCAUAUCAAUGUCCAUAUCAAUUUCCCAUGUUCCAUUACAUAUCCCGUGUUCUUUCCUUCUUCCAGCUUUUACAUGCUAGCCUUUUAUACAAUGAUUCCUCUCAUCUCGACUCGUUUGAUGAAUGGGCGUUUAGUUUUUGCAACAACAUAUGCGUUGGGUUAUCUCAUAUCGGGAAACACUUUCUGCCACUUUUAACUUGAACAAAGUUGGAGAAAUAAAGUGAUGGCAGAUAUUGCAAGUUGUUUAUAGUGUGCCUGUAGAAAUGUAAAAACGCUAUGUUUCGUGAAUGCCCAGCCUGUAAAUCGAAAUAAGAUUUCGUAUUUAUUAAGCAUUGGAAGAUCACAAUUGUGACUUUGGUGGGUUUCGUAAAGAACAUCAUAUAGAUUUCUUUGACCAAGUGUAAUAAAGCAAAACACAC